This 492-nucleotide ribosomal RNA is filed under the name uncultured bacterium. RNAcentral's name for it is "partial 16S ribosomal RNA". It matches the Rfam family "Bacterial small subunit ribosomal RNA", at positions 29 to 507 of the family's 1533-position model. The record is from RNAcentral.
AGUGAACGCUGGCGGUAGGCCUAAUACAUGCAAGUCGAACGAAAGCACAGUAAGCUUUCGCUCUUACGGGCGGCGAGUGGCGGAUGAGUGAGGAAUACAUAACCAUCUACUUAUUCGUGGGGGAUUACGGAGGGCAACAUACGCUAAUAGAGCAUAUGACCUACGGGUGAAAGCAGUGGAUCUACGCAGCUUUCGCGACACUUUGAGCUGAUGUCGGAUUAGCUAGUUGGCGAGGUAAAGGCCCACCAAGGCGACGAUCCGUAGCUGGUCUGAGAGGGUGAUCAGCCACACUGGAACUGAGACACGGUCCAGACUCCUACGGGAGGCAGCAGUGGGGAAUAUUGGGCAAUGGGCGCAAGCCUGAUCCAGCCACACCGCGUGGGUGAAGAAGGCCUUCGGGUUGUAAAGCCCUGUUGUUGGGAAAGAAAAGAUGCAGAUUAAUACCCCGCUGUCUUGACGGUACCCAAAGAAUAAGCAACGGCUAACUUCGUG